Molecule: non-coding RNA, 75 nt
Organism: Anolis carolinensis (green anole)
Lineage: Eukaryota; Metazoa; Chordata; Lepidosauria; Squamata; Anolidae
Source: Rfam
CUUCAGUGAACAUUCAACGCUGUCGGUGAGUUUGGAAUCGAGAGCAAACCAUCGACCGUUGACUGUACCUUGAGG